This 440-nucleotide ribosomal RNA is filed under the name uncultured bacterium. Its description in RNAcentral is "partial 16S ribosomal RNA". It matches the Rfam family "Bacterial small subunit ribosomal RNA", at positions 28 to 507 of the family's 1533-position model. The record is from RNAcentral.
GACGAACGCUGGCGGCGUGCCUAAUGCAUGCAAGUCGCACGCGGCACCUUCGGGUGCUGUGUGGCGAACGGCUGAGGAACCCGGUGGGACCCGUCCGGGAGUGGGGGACAACACCGCGAAAGCGGUUCUAAUCCCGCAUACGCUCUGCGGAGGAAAGCCGAAAGGCGCUCCCGGGUGGCCCUGCGGCCCAUCAGGUUGUUGGUGGGGUAACGGCCGACCAAGCCAAUGACGGGUCGCUGGUCAGUGAGGACGACCAGCCAGACGGGGACUGGGACACGGCCCGGGCUCCUUCGGGAGGGGGCGGAAGGGUGUUUUCGGCACUGGGCGCGAGUCUGACCGAGCAGCGCCGCGUGAAGGAAGGCGGCCUUCGAGUUGUAAACUGCUUUUGCGAGGGAUGCUGACAGACGGUACCUGGCGAAUCAGCCCCGGCUAACUCUGUG